AGAGUUUGAUCCUGGCUCAGAACGAACGCUGGCGGCAGGCUUAACACAUGCAAGUUGAACGGGAUUUGUGUGGUGCUUGCACCAUAUAAUGAGAGUAGCGCACUGGUGAGUAACACGUGGGAACGUACCUUUUGGUGGGGGACAACAUCUGGAAACGGAUGCUAAUACCGCAUAAGACCUGAGGGUGAAAGAUUUAUCGCCGAAAGAACGGCCCGCGGAAGAUUAGGCAGUUGGUGGGGUAAAGGCCUACCAAACCUACGAUCUAUAGCUGGUCUGAGAGGACGAUCAGCCACAUUGGAACUGAGACACGGUCCAGACUCCUACGGGAGGCAGCAGUGAGGAAUAUUGGGCAAUGGAGGCAACUCUGACCCAGCCAUGCCGCGUGAGUGAAGAAGGUUUUCGGAUUGUAAAGCUCUUUCGGAUGUGACGAUGAUGACGGUAGCAUCUAAAGAAGCCCCGGCUAACUUCGUGCCAGCAGCCGCGGUAAUACGAAGGGGGCGAGCGUUGUUCGGAAUUACUGGGCGUAAAGGGUGUGUAGGCGGUUAUGUAAGAUAGCGGUGAAAUCCCGGGGCUUAACCUCGGAAUAGCCGUUAUAACUAUGUAGCUAGAGUUAUGGAGAGGAUAGCGGAAUACCCAGUGUAGAGGUGAAAUUCGUAGAUAUUGGGUAGAACACCAGAGGCGAAGGCGGCUAUCUGGGCAUUGAUUGACGCUGAGGCACGAAAGCAUGGGGAUCAAACAGGAUUAGAUACCCUGGUAGUCCAUGCUGUAAACGAUGAAUGCUGGUUGUCGGCUUUAGGGUCGGUGACGAAGUUAACGCG
This 818-nucleotide ribosomal RNA is filed under the name human gut metagenome. Its description in RNAcentral is "bacterial SSU rRNA". It matches the Rfam family "Bacterial small subunit ribosomal RNA", at positions 8 to 859 of the family's 1533-position model. The record is from RNAcentral.